GCUUACUUGGUGAAAUUGGUAAACACGAAAGACUUAAAAUCUUUUUUCUUCAAAGAAUUACUGGUUCAAGUCCAGUAGUAAGCA
Molecule: transfer RNA, 84 nt
Filed under: Proteomonas sulcata
Lineage: Eukaryota; Cryptophyceae; Pyrenomonadales; Geminigeraceae
Description: tRNA-Leu
Rfam family: tRNA
About the family: Transfer RNA (tRNA) molecules are approximately 80 nucleotides in length. Their secondary structure includes four short double-helical elements and three loops (D, anti-codon, and T loops).
Source: RNAcentral